RNAcentral lists this ribosomal RNA (474 nucleotides) under uncultured bacterium. Its description in RNAcentral is "bacterial SSU rRNA". It matches the Rfam family "Bacterial small subunit ribosomal RNA", at positions 27 to 518 of the family's 1533-position model. The record is from RNAcentral.
GGACGAACGCUGGCGGCGUGCCUAACACAUGCAAGUCGAGCGAGGAGAUCCUUCGGGAUGAUCCUAGCGGCGGACGGGUGAGUAACACGUGGGCAACCUGCCUCAUAGAGAGGAAUAGCCUUCCGAAAGGGAGAUUAAUACCUCAUAACAUUGCAGUUUCGCAUGGAACAGCAAUUAAAGGAGUAAUCCGCUAUGAGAUGGGCCCGCGGCGCAUUAGCUAGUUGGUGAGGUAACGGCUCACCAAGGCGACGAUGCGUAGCCGACCUGAGAGGGUGAUCGGCCACAUUGGGACUGAGACACGGCCCAGACUCCUACGGGAGGCAGCAGUGGGGAAUAUUGCACAAUGGGGGAAACCCUGAUGCAAGCAACGCCGCGUGAGUGAUGACGGCCUUCGGGUUGUAAAGCUCUGUCUUCAGGGACGAUAAUGACGGUACCUGAGGAGGAAGCCACGGCUAACUACGUGCCAGCAGCCGC